Molecule: ribosomal RNA, 494 nt
Filed under: uncultured bacterium
Lineage: Bacteria
Description: partial 16S ribosomal RNA
Rfam family: Bacterial small subunit ribosomal RNA
Source: RNAcentral
GACGAACGCUGGCGGCGUGCUAAACACAUGCAAGUCGAACGGUGAAGCGCCUUCCUUUUUGGUGGGUGUGGAUGAGUGGCGAACGGGUGAGUAACACGUGAGUAACCUGCCCCCUUCUUCUGGAUAACCGCAUGAAAGUGUGGCUAAUACGGGAUAUUCUGGGUCUGUCGCAUGAUGGGUCUGGGAAAGAUAUUGUUUCGGUGGGGGAUGGGCUCGCGGCCUAUCAGCUUGUUGGUGGGGUGAUGGCCUACCAAGGCGGUGACGGGUAGCCGGCCUGAGAGGGUGGACGGUCACACUGGGACUGAGACACGGCCCAGACUCCUACGGGAGGCAGCAGUGGGGAAUAUUGCACAAUGGGCGCAAGCCUGAUGCAGCGACGCCGCGUGAGGGAUGGAGGCCUUCGGGUUGUGAACCUCUUUCGCCAGUGAAGCAGGCCUGCCUCGUUUGUGGGUGGGUUGACGGUAGCUGGAUAAGAAGCGCCGGCUAACUACGUG